UACGAAGGGGGCUAGCGUUGCUCGGAAUUACUGGGCGUAAAGCGCACGUAGGCGGCUUUGUAAGUUAGAGGUGAAAGCCUGGAGCUCAACUCCAGAAUUGCCUUUAAGACUGCAUCGCUUGAAUCGCGGAGAGGUGAGUGGAAUUCCGAGUGUAGAGGUGAAAUUCGUAGAUAUCUGGAGGAACACCGGUGGCGAAGGCGGCAUCCUGGACCGGUAUUGACGCUGAGGCGCGAAAGCCAGGGGAGCAAACGGG
This 253-nucleotide ribosomal RNA is filed under the name uncultured bacterium. Its description in RNAcentral is "partial 16S ribosomal RNA". It matches the Rfam family "Bacterial small subunit ribosomal RNA", at positions 524 to 776 of the family's 1533-position model. The record is from RNAcentral.